Molecule: ribosomal RNA, 252 nt
Filed under: uncultured bacterium
Lineage: Bacteria
Description: partial 16S ribosomal RNA
Rfam family: Bacterial small subunit ribosomal RNA
Source: RNAcentral
UACGUAGGGGGCAAGCGUUGUCCGGAAUUAUUGGGCGUAAAGCGCGCGCAGGCGGUCAUUUAAGUCUGGUGUUUAAUCCCGGGGCUCAACCCCGGAUCGCACUGGAAACUGGGUGACUUGAGUGCAGAAGAGGAGAGUGGAAUUCCACGUGUAGCGGUGAAAUGCGUAGAUAUGUGGAGGAAUACCAGUGGCGAAGGCGACUCUCUGGGCUGUAACUGACGCUGAGGCGCGAAAGCGUGGGGAGCGAACAGG